RNA transcript from Columba livia (rock pigeon), 1548 nucleotides. It is a transcript of the gene named pre-mRNA-processing factor 39, with no coding region annotated. The transcript is spliced from 8 exons. NCBI's taxonomy places the organism in Eukaryota, Metazoa, Chordata, Aves, Columbiformes, Columbidae. The record is from RefSeq and is a predicted model, not a curated record.
GUGGUUCCUUUCCCUAUGUUUCUCCGAGCGCCGCAUGACCGCUCUGGAACAUCUUCCUCACGUCGUCUCUAUGCUUCCUGGUCCUCCGGGCCGCUCCGUGGCUCUGGAAGCGAAACCGGAAGUCUCUAUGGUGCAGGCCGCGUUGAUGCGGCUCCUCCCGGCCGGCAGGCGGCGCUGCAGCCCCCACCCCGUCGCCGCUCUGGCCCCGCCGCCGCCUCCUCGCUGGCUUCCUCAUCCGGGUCCCCGCGGUGGGAGGCGGGAGCGCGAUGGCGGCGGAAGGAGCGGAGGGAGCGGCGGCCGCGGGCGGGAACGGGAGCGGGAGCGGGAACGGGGGCGGCAGCGCCGACCCCCCCGCCCCCCUGUCCGAGCCGCCCCCCCCCACCCCCCUCCCCUCCCCGCCCCCCCCAGCCGAACCCGCCGCCCCCCAACCCCCCCAGAGCUGCAACGGCGCCGCCGCCCCCCCCCCCGAGGAGCCGCCCCCCCAGGAGCCGCCGCAGGAGCCGCCCCAGGACCCCCCCCCCCAGGAGCCGCCCCCCCCAGGAGCCGCCCCCCCAGGACCCCCCCCAGGACCCCCCCCAGGACCCCCCCCAGGACCCCCCCCAGGAGGCGCCGCUGCCCCCCGAGCUGGAGAAGCUGUGGCAGGCGGCGCAGAGCAACCCCCACGACUUCGGCGCCUGGACCGAGCUGCUGGCGCUCGUGGAGCAGGAGAACCAGCUGGGCGCCGCCCGCCGCGCCUUCGACGGCUUCUUCGCGCACUACCCGUACUGCUACGGCUACUGGAAGAAAUACGCCGACAUGGAGCGGCGCCUGGGGGGCGACCAGCGCGCGCAGGAGGUGUUUGAGCGCGGUCUCCAGUCCAUCCCCGCUCAGCAUGGACCUGUGGAUCCACUACAUCUCCUUCUGCAGAGCUCGCUGGACAUGAGCCGCCCCGAGGCCGCGCCGCGGAUACGGGGGGUGUUCGAGGCGGCGGUGGCGGCGGCCGGGCUGGAUUUCCGCUCGGACAAGCUGUGGGAGCUGUACGUGGAGUGGGAGCGCGAGCAGGGCGAGCUGCGCGCCGUCACCGCCAUCUACGACCGCGUGCUGUCCAUCCCCACGCAGCUCUACAGCCAGCACUGGGAGCGGUUCAAGGAGCACGUCCUCCAGCACCCGCCCCGGGACAUCCUGUCCCCCGAGGAGCUGCUCUGGGUCCGCUCCAAGCUUUCCGCGGAGCCGCCGAAGGCGCCGGAGCCGCCGGAGCCGCCAAGGCGCCGGAGCCGCCCCCCGAGGAGCCGCCGCAGCCCGGGGGGGGCGCCCAGGAAGAUCCGGAGCCGGAGCAGGAGCGGAUCCGGGAGCUGGUGAUCUCCAUGCGGCAGCAGAUCCACGCGCACAACGAGGCCGAGGUCGGCAAGCGGCUGGAGCUUCGAGGACGGGAUCAAGCGCCCCCUAUUUCCACGUGAAGCCGCUGGAGCGGGCGCAGCUGCGGGAACUGGCGCGAGUACCUGGACUGGGAGCUGAGCGGCGGCAACCACGACCGCUGCAUCGUGCUGUUCGAGCGCUGCGUCAUCGCCU